ACAUGCAAGUCGAACGGUAACAGGAAGCAGCUUGCUGCUUUGCUGACGAGUGGCGGACGGGUGAGUAAUGUCUGGGAAACUGCCUGAUGGAGGGGGAUAACUACUGGAAACGGUGGCUAAUACCGCAUAACGUCGCAAGACCAAAGAGGGGGACCUUCGGGCCUCUUGCCAUCAGAUGUGCCCAGAUGGGAUUAGCUUGUUGGUGAGGUAACGGCUCACCAAGGCGACGAUCCCUAGCUGGUCUGAGAGGAUGACCAGCCACACUGGAACUGAGACACGGUCCAGACUCCUACGGGAGGCAGCAGUGGGGAAUAUUGCACAAUGGGCGCAAGCCUGAUGCAGCCAUGCCGCGUGUAUGAAGAAGGCCUUCGGGUUGUAAAGUACUUUCAGCGGGGAGGAAGGUGUUGUGGUUAAUAACCGCAGCAAUUGACGUUACCCGCAGAAGAAGCACCGGCUAACUCCGUGCCAGCAGCCGCGGUAAUACGGAGGGUGCAAGCGUUAAUCGGAAUUACUGGGCGUAAAGCGCACGCAGGCGGUCUGUCAAGUCGGAUGUGAAAUCCCCGGGCUCAACCUGGGAACUGCAUUCGAAACUGGCAGGCUUGAGUCUUGUAGAGGGGGGUAGAAUUCCAGGUGUAGCGGUGAAAUGCGUAGAGAUCUGGAGGAAUACCGGUGGCGAAGGCGGCCCCCUGGACAAAGACUGACGCUCAGGUGCGAAAGCGUGGGGAGCAAACAGGAUUAGAUACCCUGGUAGUCCACGCCGUAAACGAUGUCUACUUGGAGGUUGUGCCCUUGAGGCGUGGCUUCCGGAGCUAACGCGUUAAGUAGACCGCCUGGGGAGUACGGCCGCAAGGUUAAAACUCAAAUGAAUUGACGGGGGCCCGCACAAGCGGUGGAGCAUGUGGUUUAAUUCGAUGCAACGCGAAGAACCUUACCUGGUCUUGACAUCCACAGAACUUUCCAGAGAUGGAUUGGUGCCUUCGGGAACUGUGAGACAGGUGCUGCAUGGCUGUCGUCAGCUCGUGUUGUGAAAUGUUG
This 1035-nucleotide ribosomal RNA is filed under the name Salmonella enterica. RNAcentral describes it as "bacterial SSU rRNA". It matches the Rfam family "Bacterial small subunit ribosomal RNA", at positions 53 to 1077 of the family's 1533-position model. Lineage: Bacteria; Pseudomonadati; Pseudomonadota; Gammaproteobacteria; Enterobacterales; Enterobacteriaceae. The record is from RNAcentral.